Molecule: long non-coding RNA, 651 nt
Filed under: Astyanax mexicanus (Mexican tetra)
Lineage: Eukaryota; Metazoa; Chordata; Actinopteri; Characiformes; Acestrorhamphidae
Description: lncRNA (ENSAMXG00005011869.1)
Source: RNAcentral
GCCGCUUUAGACUCAUUGACUUGGUUUCUUCGCUACAACUAAACACUGUCUCACCAUAAAAGGCUGAAAGAAAACGGUGGUGAAUGAAUGAAUGAACUGUGGGUUUGGUGAACAGCUUGGACUGACUGGACCAAAACAUUUCAGGAGCAACAAUCAGAAGAUGGGUUUUAUGGUUUCCUCACGACUCCUAAACCCAAACAUCACCCAGAACCUGUCAAACAUCAGAAGAGCAGCACGAAUAACAAAAAGUGAGAGAGAGAGAGAGAGGCUGGGGAUCAAUACUUUGCAGUGUAGCUGUGAGACAGGCGGCUGAUUUACUCGCGGUCUGGGCUGUGAUUGGUCCGUUCGGAGGUGGAGGAAGAGGAGGAGGAAGGCGAGGAGGUGGAGGGACGGCGGCGUGGUGGAGCAGCUGAGGUGAAAAUGUCCUUCUGCAGCUUUUUCUGUCUUCUUCUUUCCUUCUUUAAAGCCCCCUACACUAUCCCUCCAUCCUACACCUCCAUCCUACCCCUCCACCCCUCCAUCCCUCCGUACCGCCCCCUGCUCCCUCCACCCGACCCGACUUUAAUCUGAUGGCAUUACGAGACCCGAGGCAGGGAGGAAGGUGCGUUCGCGUGCAGACACUGUUACACACACACUUACACACACACACAC